CUGUGCUAGAUGGGGAGUUAGCGGUGCCCUGUACCUGCAAUCCGCUGUAGCAGGGUCGAAUGCCAUAUUGAGGCUCACUAGCUGUAGAGCAGCUCCAAAAAAGUGAUGAUGAUUGUCGGGUCCUGCGCAAUAGAGAUUCAUGAACCCCGUCAGAUCCGGAAGGAAGCAGCGGUAAGUGAUCCCCUCUAUGUGCCGCGGGAGCGCCUGAUAUGAGUUAACUCUUUGGGAGGCGUCUGUGGCUUUGAGUCGAAUUAUGGCUGCACAG
Molecule: non-coding RNA, 265 nt
Organism: Peptoclostridium acidaminophilum DSM 3953
Lineage: Bacteria; Bacillati; Bacillota; Clostridia; Peptostreptococcales; Peptoclostridiaceae
Rfam family: Bacterial large signal recognition particle RNA
About the family: The signal recognition particle (SRP) is a universally conserved ribonucleoprotein involved in the co-translational targeting of proteins to membranes. Archaeal SRP consists of a 7S RNA and homologues of the eukaryotic SRP19 and SRP54 proteins. In most bacteria, the SRP consists of a 4.5S RNA and the Ffh protein (a homologue of the eukaryotic SRP54 protein).
Source: Rfam